UGGAGUAUGUGGUUUAAUUCGAUGCAACGCGAAGACCUUACCUGGUCUUGACAUCCCGGAGACCCUUAGGAAACUAGGGGUGCUUCCAUCUGGAAGAAUCUGGAGACAGGUGCUGCAUGGCUGUCGUCAGCUCGUGUCGUGAGAUGUUGGGUUAAGUCCCGCAACGAGCGCAACCCUUGCCUUUAGUUGCCAGCAGUUCGGCUGGGCACUCUAAAGGGACUGCCGGUGUUAAACCGGAGGAAGUGGGGAUGACGUCAAGUCCUCAUGGCCUUUAUGACCAGGGCUACACACGUACUACAAUGGCCGAUACAAAGGGCAGCGACACUGCGAGGUGAAGCCAAUCCCGUAAAAUCGGUCUCAGUCCGGAUUGGAGUCUGCAACUCGACUCCAUGAAGUUGGAAUCGCUAGUAAUCGUGGAUCAGCAUGCCACGGUGAAUACGUUCCCGGGCCUU
RNAcentral lists this ribosomal RNA (452 nucleotides) under uncultured Desulfobulbus sp. RNAcentral describes it as "bacterial SSU rRNA". It matches the Rfam family "Bacterial small subunit ribosomal RNA", at positions 933 to 1382 of the family's 1533-position model. The record is from RNAcentral. Lineage: Bacteria; Pseudomonadati; Thermodesulfobacteriota; Desulfobulbia; Desulfobulbales; Desulfobulbaceae.